Coffea arabica (coffee) is the source of this 107-nucleotide small nucleolar RNA. Lineage: Eukaryota; Viridiplantae; Streptophyta; Magnoliopsida; Gentianales; Rubiaceae. The record is from RefSeq and is a predicted model, not a curated record.
AUUUGGUGUUGGGGGCACUUGAUGCACAGCUUCUUGAAUCUCUCUCAAUACUCAUAGAGGGACUCGCCUGGAUUUUGCUUGAUACCGUAGAUCUCCUUUCUUAGACU